RNAcentral lists this unclassified non-coding RNA (199 nucleotides) under uncultured Basidiomycota. RNAcentral's name for it is "sequence contains ITS2". The record is from RNAcentral. Lineage: Eukaryota; Fungi; Basidiomycota.
AAUUCUCAAACCAACUUUUAUUAGUUGGCUUUGGACUUUGAGGGUUUUGCUGAUGAAAGUCGGCUCCCUUUAAAUGCAUUAGCUGGUAUUACUUCAUGUGAAAGCCAGACUAUGGUGUGAUAAUUAUCUACGCUAUUGGUCUCGGUGGAAGCAAGUUGUUGGCCGCUUCUAAUCGUUGUUAACAGCAACAAUCUUGAAA